Molecule: transfer RNA, 84 nt
Filed under: Felis catus (domestic cat)
Lineage: Eukaryota; Metazoa; Chordata; Mammalia; Carnivora; Felidae
Rfam family: tRNA
About the family: Transfer RNA (tRNA) molecules are approximately 80 nucleotides in length. Their secondary structure includes four short double-helical elements and three loops (D, anti-codon, and T loops).
Source: Rfam by way of RNAcentral
GCCUGGGUGGCUCAGUAAGUUAAGCAACUGACUUCAGUUCAGAUCAUGAUCUCACAGUCGUGGGUUUAAGUCCCACAUCAGGCU